This is a transfer RNA of Camelus ferus (Wild Bactrian camel), 72 nucleotides long. It matches the Rfam family "tRNA". Rfam says of the family: Transfer RNA (tRNA) molecules are approximately 80 nucleotides in length. Their secondary structure includes four short double-helical elements and three loops (D, anti-codon, and T loops). Further hydrogen bonds mediate the characteristic L-shaped molecular structure. tRNAs have two regions of fundamental functional importance: the anti-codon, which is responsible for specific mRNA codon recognition, and the 3' end, to which the tRNAs corresponding amino acid is attached (by aminoacyl-tRNA synthetases). tRNAs cope with the degeneracy of the genetic code in two manners: having more than one tRNA (with a specific anti-codon) for a particular amino acid; and 'wobble' base-pairing, i.e. permitting non-standard base-pairing at the 3rd anti-codon position. Lineage: Eukaryota; Metazoa; Chordata; Mammalia; Artiodactyla; Camelidae. The record is from Rfam.
GAGGGUAUAGCUCAGUGGUAGAGUGCCUGCCUAGCACGCAUGAGGUCCUGGGUUCAACCCCCGGUAUCUCCA